AGUUGGAUCAUGGCUCAGAUUGAACGCUGGCUGUGCCAAGCCUAACACAUGCAAGUCGAGCGGCAGCACAAGUAAGUUUACUUAUGAGGUGGCGAGCGGCGGACGGGUGAGUAAUGCCUAGGGAUCUGCCCAGUCGAGGGGGAUAACAGUUGGAAACGACUGCUAAUACCGCAUACGCCCUACGGGGGAAAGGAGGGGACCUUCGGGCCUUCCGCGAUUGGAUGAACCUAGGUGGGAUUAGCUAGUUGGUGAGGUAAUGGCUCACCAAGGCGACGAUCCCUAGCUGUUCUGAGAGGAUGAUCAGCCACACUGGGACUGAGACACGGCCCAGACUCCUACGGGAGGCAGCAGUGGGGAAUAUUGCACAAUGGGGGAAACCCUGAUGCAGCCAUGCCGCGUGUGUGAAGAAGGCCUUCGGGUUGUAAAGCACUUUCAGUCAGGGAGGAAANGGGUGAGUCUUAAUACGGCUCAUCUGUGACGUUACCUUAACAGGAAGAAGGACCGGCUAACUCCGUGC
RNAcentral lists this ribosomal RNA (517 nucleotides) under uncultured bacterium. Its description in RNAcentral is "bacterial SSU rRNA". It matches the Rfam family "Bacterial small subunit ribosomal RNA", at positions 10 to 508 of the family's 1533-position model. The record is from RNAcentral.